This 492-nucleotide ribosomal RNA is filed under the name uncultured bacterium. Its description in RNAcentral is "partial 16S ribosomal RNA". It matches the Rfam family "Bacterial small subunit ribosomal RNA", at positions 29 to 507 of the family's 1533-position model. The record is from RNAcentral.
AGUGAACGCUGGCGGUAGGCCUAACACAUGCAAGUCGAACGGCAGCACAGUAAGAGCUUGCUCUUACGGGUGGCGAGUGGCGGACGGGUGAGGAAUACUUCGGAAUCUACUUUUUCGUGGGGGAUAACGUAGGGAAACUUACGCUAAUACCGCAUACGACCUACGGGUGAAAGCAGGGGAUCUUCGGACCUUGCGCGAUUGAAUGAGCCGAUGUCGGAUUAGCUAGUUGGCGGGGUAAAGGCCCACCAAGGCGACGAUCCGUAGCUGGUCUGAGAGGAUGAUCAGCCACACUGGAACUGAGACACGGUCCAGACUCCUACGGGAGGCAGCAGUGGGGAAUAUUGGACAAUGGGCGCAAGCCUGAUCCAGCUAUACCGCGUGGGUGAAGAAGGCCUUCGGGUUGUAAAGCCCUUUUGUUGGGAAAGAAAAGCAGCAGGUUAAUACCCCGCUGUUCUGACGGUACCCAAAGAAUAAGCACCGGCUAACUUCGUG